UACAGAGGGUGCUAGCGUUAAUCGGAAUUACUGGGCGUAAAGGGUGCGUAGGUGGUUUGAUAAGUUAUCUGUGAAAUUCCCGGGCUUAACCUGGGUAGGUCAGAUAAAACUGUUGGACUCGAGUAUGGGAGAGGGUAGUGGAAUUUCCGGUGUAGCGGUGAAAUGCGUAGAGAUCGGAAGGAACACCAGUGGCGAAGGCGGCUACCUGGCCCAAUACUGACGCUGAGGCACGAAAGCGUGGGGAGCAAACAGG
RNAcentral lists this ribosomal RNA (253 nucleotides) under uncultured bacterium. RNAcentral describes it as "partial 16S ribosomal RNA". It matches the Rfam family "Bacterial small subunit ribosomal RNA", at positions 524 to 776 of the family's 1533-position model. The record is from RNAcentral.